Molecule: ribosomal RNA, 253 nt
Filed under: uncultured bacterium
Lineage: Bacteria
Description: partial 16S ribosomal RNA
Rfam family: Bacterial small subunit ribosomal RNA
Source: RNAcentral
UACGAGGGGUGCAAACGUUGCUCGGAAUCAUUGGGCGUAAAGCGCACGUAGGCGGCUUCGCAAGUCGGAUGUGAAAUACCUAGGCUCAACCAAGGACGUGCAUCCGAAACUGCGAGGCUUGAGUACAGAAGAGGAUCGCGGAAUUCCCGGUGUAGAGGUGAAAUUCGUAGAUAUCGGGAGGAACACCAGUGGCGAAGGCGGCGAUCUGGGCUGAUACUGACGCUGAGGUGCGAAAGCGUGGGGAGCAAACAGG